AUUGAACGCUGGCGGCAGGCUUAACACAUGCAAGUCGAACGAUGAAGAUAUAGCUUGCUAUAUUGGAUUAGUGGCGGACGGGUGAGUAACACUUAGGAAUCUACCUUUUAGCGGGGGAUAGCUCGGGGAAACUCGAAUUAAUACCGCAUAAUUUCUACGGAAUAAAGAGGGCUUUUAGCUCUCACUAGAAGAUGAGCCUAAGUAAGAUUAGCUAGUUGGUGGGGUAAAAGCCUACCAAGGCGACGAUCUUUAGCUGGUCUGAGAGGAUGAUCAGCCACACUGGGACUGAGACACGGCCCAGACUCCUACGGGAGGCAGCAGUGGGGAACAUUGGACAAUGGGGGCAACCCUGAUCCAGCCAUGCCGCGUGUGUGAAGAAGGCCUUUUGGUUGUAAAGCACUUUAAGCAGUGAAGAAGACCUAUUGGUUAAUACCCAAUAGCGAUGACAUUAACUGCAGAAUAAGCACCGGCUAACUCUGUGCCAGCAGCCGCGGUAAUACAGAGGGUGCAAGCGUUAAUCGGAAUUACUGGGCGUAAAGCGAGCGUAGGUGGUUAAAUAAGUCAGAUGUGAAAGCCCUGGGCUCAACCUAGGAACGGCAUCUGAAACUAUUUAACUAGAGUAGGUGAGAGGGAAGUAGAAUUUCAGGUGUAGCGGUGAAAUGCGUAGAGAUCUGAAGGAAUACCGAUGGCGAAGGCAGCUUCCUGGCAUCAUACUGACACUGAGGCACGAAAGCGUGGGUAGCAAACAGG
Molecule: ribosomal RNA, 750 nt
Filed under: uncultured bacterium
Lineage: Bacteria
Description: bacterial SSU rRNA
Rfam family: Bacterial small subunit ribosomal RNA
Source: RNAcentral